This is a long non-coding RNA of Dermochelys coriacea (leatherback sea turtle), 575 nucleotides long. RefSeq lists it as uncharacterized. The transcript has 3 exons. NCBI's taxonomy places the organism in Eukaryota, Metazoa, Chordata, Testudines, Dermochelyidae. The record is from RefSeq and is a predicted model, not a curated record.
GACCCUGGCAGCUCCAGUCAGCACUGCUGACUGGGUCGUUAAAAGUCCAGUUGGCGCUGCAGGCAGACUCCCUGCCCGGCUCCGUGCAACUCCCGGAAAGCUGUCAGCAUGUCCCUCUGGGUCCUAAGCGGAGGGACGGCCACGGGGGAAGAGAAGUAGAGGAUGGGGCCAUGAAGGGCGCCGAGCUCCUGCAGUGUCCCAUUUAAAAUUUUGAAAAGGUGGUUACCCUACUCUCGACUGUGCUGGGAGCCCCCUGCGGGCUUGCUGUCAGCGUGGGGAGUCCCCUUCAGGCACACUGUCAGUGCUGCCCUAACUCUAACCCUGCCCUUAAUUUCCUGCAACUGUGAAAAUUCAGAUCAAUAAAAAAUCGGGGGGGGGGAUGCUUAACACCUAUAGUUUUGUGCAACUGAGAAAAUUCAAACCCAUAAACAUAAUUUUAAAAUGCUUGAAAAUAAAAAAAAUUGAAAUUACAAAAAAAUAAAAAUGGAAUUCAGCCAAGCCUAACCAUAUGAUCUGAUUAAUUUACCAAUUGCCAAAAAGGGAGUUGCUAACAAACAAUGCACUUCAGCCUGGAC